CCUACGGGAGGCAGCAGUGGGGAAUAUUGCGCAAUGGGCGAAAGCCUGACGCAGCGACGCCGCGUGAGGGAUGAAGGUCUUCGGAUCGUAAAACUCUGUCAGCAGGGAAGAACGGUCACUGUGCUAAUCAGCAGUGAAUUUACGGUACCUGCAAAGGAAGCACCGGCUAACUCCGUGCCAGCAGCCGCGGUAAUACGUAGGGUGCGAGCGUUAAUGGGAAUUACUGGGCGUAAAGCGCUCGUAGGCGGUAUGUCAAGUCAAGGGUGAAAUCCCCGCGCUCAACGUGGGAACUGCCUUUGAAACUGGCAAACUGGAGUGUGUGAGAGGAUAGUGGAAUGCCAGGGGUAGGAGUGAA
RNAcentral lists this ribosomal RNA (355 nucleotides) under uncultured bacterium. RNAcentral describes it as "partial 16S ribosomal RNA". It matches the Rfam family "Bacterial small subunit ribosomal RNA", at positions 338 to 685 of the family's 1533-position model. The record is from RNAcentral.